UGCCCCAGUAACGGCGAGUGAAGCGGCAAAAGCUCAAAUUUGAAAUCCUGCGGGAAUUGUAAUUUGAAGGUUUCGUGGUCUGAGUCGGCCGCGCCCAAGUCCAUUGGAACAUGGCGCCUGGGAGGGUGAGAGCCCCGUAUGGCGCACGCCGACUCUUUGCACCGCGGCUCCGACGAGUCGAGUUGUUUGGGAAUGCAGCUCUAAGUGGGUGGUAAAUUCCAUCUAAAGCUAAAUAUUGGCGAGAGACCGAUAGCGAACAAGUACAGUGAUGGAAAGAUGAAAAGCACUUUGAAAAGAGAGUGAAACAGCACGUGAAAUUGUUGAAAGGGAAGGGCUUGCAAGCAGACACGGUUUUACCGGGCCAGCGUCAAAUAAACGGGGGGGAAAAGGGGGAAAGAAUGUGGCGCGUGCCUUCGGGUUCGCGUGUUAUAGCUUUCUCUAAUACCCCCAUGUUUGUUUGAGGCCUGCGAUUCUAGGACGCUGGCGUAAUGGUUGCAAGCCGCCCGUCUUGAAACACGGACCAAGGAGUCUAACGUCUAUGCGAGUGUUUGGGUGCAAAACCCCAGCGCGGAAUGAAAGUAAGAGGUUGGAGCCGCAAGGCGCACAAUCGAC
Molecule: ribosomal RNA, 612 nt
Filed under: Clavispora lusitaniae
Lineage: Eukaryota; Fungi; Ascomycota; Pichiomycetes; Serinales; Metschnikowiaceae
Description: partial large subunit ribosomal RNA
Rfam family: Eukaryotic large subunit ribosomal RNA
Source: RNAcentral